Molecule: microRNA, 22 nt
Filed under: Hordeum vulgare
Lineage: Eukaryota; Viridiplantae; Streptophyta; Magnoliopsida; Poales; Poaceae
Description: hvu-miR6182
Source: miRBase by way of RNAcentral
UGAGUGUGUGAUGGAUGGCUUU